GAUAACCAGUCUAGUACAGCUACAUUAGAGAGGAGUGGGGACCAGUCUAGUACAGCUACAUUAGAGAGGAGGAGGGAGAACCAGUCUAGUACAGCUACAUUAGAGAGGAGGAGGGACAACCAAUCUAGUACAGCUACAUUAGAGAGGAGAAGGAGUGAGAACCAGUCUAGUACAUCUACAUUAGAGAGGAGGAGGAGGGAGAGCCAGUCUAGUAAAGCAACAUUAGAGAGGAGGAGAAGGGAGAACCAGUCUAGUAUAGCUACAUUAGAGAGGAGGAUUAGGGAGAACCUGUAUAGUAUAGCUACAUUAAAGAGGAGGACGAGCGAGAACCAGUCUAUUAUAGAUACAUUAGAGAGCAGGAGGAGGGAGAACCAAUCUAGUACAGCUUCAUUAGAGAGGAGGAGGAGAGAGAACCAGUCUAGUACAGCUACAUUAGAGAGGAGGAGGAGGAGGGAGAACCAGUCUAGUAUAGCAACAUAAUAGAGGAGGAGGGACAACCAGUCUAGUAGAGCUACAUUAGAGAGGAGGAGGAGGGACAACCAGUCUAGUAUAGAUACAUUAGUGAGGAGGAUGGAGAACCAGUCAUGUACAGCUAUAUUAGAGAGGAGAAGAGAGAACCAGUCUAGUAUAGCUACAUUAGAGAGGAGGAAGAGGGAGAACCAGUCUAGUAUAGCUACAUUAGAGAGGAGGAGGAAGGAGAACCAUUCUAGUACAGCUACAUUAAAGAGGAGGAGGAGGGAGAACCAGUCUAUGAUAGAUACAUUAGAGAGGAGGAGGGAAAACCAGUCUAGUAUAGAUACAUUAGAGAGGAGGAGGAGGGAGAACCAGUCUAGUAUAGCCACAUUAGAGAGGAGGAGGAGGGAAAACCAGUCUAGUAUAGAUAUAUUAGAGAGGAGGAGGGAGAACCUGUAUAGUACAUCUACAUUAAAGAGGAGGACGAGCGAGAACCAGUCUAUUAUAGACACAUUAGAGAGGAGGAGGGAGAACCGAUCCAGUACAGCUACAUUAGAGAGGAGGAGGAGAGAUAACCAGUCUAGUACAGCUACAUUAGAGAGGAGGAGGAGGGAGAACCAGUCUAGUACAGCUACAUAAUAGAGGAGGAGGAGGGAAAACCAGUCUAGUAUAGAUACAUUAGAGAGGAGGAGGGAAAACCAGUCUACUAUAGCUACAUUAGAGAGGAGGAGGAGGGAAAACCAGUCUAGUAUAGAUACAUUAGAGAGGAGGAGGGAGAACCUGUAUAGUACAGCUACAUUAAAGAGGAGGACGAGCG
Oncorhynchus tshawytscha (Chinook salmon) is the source of this 1270-nucleotide long non-coding RNA. The record is from Ensembl. NCBI's taxonomy places the organism in Eukaryota, Metazoa, Chordata, Actinopteri, Salmoniformes, Salmonidae.